This 497-nucleotide ribosomal RNA is filed under the name uncultured bacterium. RNAcentral's name for it is "partial 16S ribosomal RNA". It matches the Rfam family "Bacterial small subunit ribosomal RNA", at positions 28 to 507 of the family's 1533-position model. The record is from RNAcentral.
GACGAACGCUGGCGGCGUGCCUAGUACAUGCAAGUUGAGCGCUGAAGGUUGGUACUUGUACCAACUGGAUGAGCAGCGAACGGGUGAGUAACGCGUGGGGAAUCUGCCUUUGAGCGGGGGACAACAUUUGGAAACGAAUGCUAAUACCGCAUAAAAACUUUAAACACAAGUUUUAAGUUUGAAAGAUGCAAUUGCAUCACUCAAAGAUGAUCCCGCGUUGUAUUAGCUAGUUGGUGAGGUAAAGGCUCACCAAGGCGAUGAUACAUAGCCGACCUGAGAGGGUGAUCGGCCACAUUGGGACUGAGACACGGCCCAAACUCCUACGGGAGGCAGCAGUAGGGAAUCUUCGGCAAUGGACGAAAGUCUGACCGAGCAACGCCGCGUGAGUGAAGAAGGGUGUCGGAUCGUAAAACUCUGUUGGUAGAGAAGAACGUUGGUGAGAGUGGAAAGCUCAUAAAGUGACGGUAACUACCCAGAAAGGGACGGCUAACUACGUG